AACCAGGAUGUUGGCUUAGAAGCAGCCACUCAUUCAAAGAGUGCGUAAUAGCUCACUGGUCGAGUGAUCCUGCGCCGAAGAUUUCCGGGGCUAAAACUUACUACCGAAGCUACGGCAUCAGUAAUGAUGGGUAGGGGAGCUUCCCAUACGGGUUGAAGCAUGACCGUAAGGACAUGUGGACAGUAUGGGAGUGAGAAUGUUGGCAUGAGUAGCGAGAUGUGGGUGGGAAUCCCACAGGCCGUAAACCCAAGGUUUCCAGGGGAAGGUUCGUCCGCCCUGGGUUAGUCGGGACCUAAGCUGAGGCCGAAAGGCGUAGGUGAUGGACAACAGGUUGAUAUUCCUGUACUACCGAUAACC
RNAcentral lists this ribosomal RNA (357 nucleotides) under Clostridioides difficile. Its description in RNAcentral is "partial 23S ribosomal RNA". It matches the Rfam family "Bacterial large subunit ribosomal RNA", at positions 1091 to 1455 of the family's 2925-position model. Lineage: Bacteria; Bacillati; Bacillota; Clostridia; Peptostreptococcales; Peptostreptococcaceae. The record is from RNAcentral.